RNAcentral lists this unclassified non-coding RNA (216 nucleotides) under soil metagenome. RNAcentral's name for it is "partial contains 5.8S ribosomal RNA, internal transcribed spacer 2, and large subunit ribosomal RNA". The record is from RNAcentral.
AACCAUAGAAACCUGCGGAGUACCUGCGGAGGGAUCAUUACAGAGUGUAACCCCCUGUAAAAUGGGGGUACCUCCCGUCCUUUGCAGGCCCUUUAGGGUCUUUUGCACUUUGCUUCGGUGGGGUAACCCACCGGAACACUCUCAAAAAAUUCUGAUUUUAAAAUUGUUCAGUCUGAGAAUUUUGAAAAUAAAAUAAAAACUUUCAACAACGGAUCU